AGUGAACGCUGGCGGUAGGCCUAACACAUGCGAGUCGAACGGCAGCACAGUAAGAGCUUGCUCUUACGGGUGGCGAGUGGCGGACGGGUGAGGAAUACAUCGGAAUCUACUUUUUCGUGGGGGAUAACGUAGGGAAACUUACGCUAAUACCGCAUACGACCUACGGGUGAAAGCAGGGGAUCUUCGGACCUUGCGCGAUUGAAUGAGCCGAUGUCGGAUUAGCUAGUUGGCGGGGUAAAGGCCCACCAAGGCGACGAUCCGUAGCUGGUCUGAGAGGAUGAUCAGCCACACUGGAACUGAGAUACGGUCCAGACUCCUACGGGAGGCAGCAGUGGGGAAUAUUGGACAAUGGGCGCAAGCCUGAUCCAGCCAUACCGCGUGGGUGAAGAAGGCCUUCGGGUUGUAAAGCCCUUUUGUUGGGAAAGAAAAGCAGCAGGUUAAUACCCCGCUGUUCUGACGGUACCCAAAGAAUAAGCACCGGCUAACUUCGUG
This 492-nucleotide ribosomal RNA is filed under the name uncultured bacterium. RNAcentral's name for it is "partial 16S ribosomal RNA". It matches the Rfam family "Bacterial small subunit ribosomal RNA", at positions 29 to 507 of the family's 1533-position model. The record is from RNAcentral.